This is a long non-coding RNA of Betta splendens (Siamese fighting fish), 711 nucleotides long. RefSeq lists it as uncharacterized. The transcript has 2 exons. The record is from RefSeq and is a predicted model, not a curated record. NCBI's taxonomy places the organism in Eukaryota, Metazoa, Chordata, Actinopteri, Anabantiformes, Osphronemidae.
GUGACCCGCGCCAGGAGCGACCGGGACCGGACGCGAGCGCAGCGGGUGCUGCUCGGUGGGGAAGACGCGCCGCCGCUGCCCGUGAGCAAGGCGCCGCCGCGUGACGGGUCGCAGUUCGCCUUCGGGCGUGUUGCUGACAGGCGGCGUCGAGGUCCCGCAGACUCGCAGCGUCUGCGGCGUUUGAAGAGGAGCCUCACAUGAGUGAUGAGGAGCAGAAAUCAAUUCACACUCCACGCGCUUUUAAUCCGUUUUAUUUGUAUGAAACAUUACCAAUCAGGAGGCAGUGGGCACGAUCCAAGUGUGGAAGGGACAGAGACGCUGUGGCACAGAAAACAGGGAGACAAUACUUUGAGCAAACGAUGUUCAACCAAAGCAGAUGAAGCUCCAGGACCGCUCGGUUCCGACCCCUGAUGGAUCCGUGGGCCAACACGUCUGGAGCUCACGCUGUCAGUCCACGCAGUCCUCUGAUAUAUUUAGACUUCAGCUGCACAGUUCACCCUGGGAAUGUCCUGACCUUGUCGCAUGAGUCCGGUGGAAUCCUUUGGUAAUAGCUCAGACCUCCAACUGCUUUUAUUCUUCGAUAUUUAGUGCAGCAAAACGUGACCCUUCUUAGAAAUCAUUUUGAUUAACAGUUAACAUGGACGCUUUUAUAACUUAUGUACAUCUGUUUUUACAAUUAAAAGUAAUAAUUACAGCAAAUCAUAAAAAAAA